UGGGGAAUAUUGGACAAUGGGCGAAAGCCUGAUCCAGCGACGCCGCGUGGGUGAAGAAGGCCUGCGGGUUGUAAAGCCCUUUCAGUGGGGAAGAAAAGCCUCGACCUAACACGUCGGGGUCUUGACGUAACCCAUAGAAGAAGCACCGGCUAACUCUGUGCCAGCAGCCGCGGUAAUACAGAGGGUGCGAGCGUUAAUCGGAAUUACUGGGCGUAAAGCGCGCGUAGGCGGCUUUGCAAGUCGGGUGUGAAAUCCCCAGGCUUAACCUGGGAACUGCUCUCGAGACUGCAUGGCUAGAGUAUGGGAGAGGGAAGUGGAAUUUCAGGUGUAGCGGUGAAAUGCGUAGAUAUCUGAAGGAACAUCAGUGGCGAAAGCGACUUCCUGGACCAAUACUGACGCUCAUGUGCGAAAGCGUGGGGAGCAAACA
RNAcentral lists this ribosomal RNA (427 nucleotides) under uncultured Steroidobacter sp. RNAcentral's name for it is "bacterial SSU rRNA". It matches the Rfam family "Bacterial small subunit ribosomal RNA", at positions 355 to 774 of the family's 1533-position model. The record is from RNAcentral. Lineage: Bacteria; Pseudomonadati; Pseudomonadota; Gammaproteobacteria; Steroidobacterales; Steroidobacteraceae.